CUAACCCUAGGAAAUGUUUCAGGGGCCAUCGAAUGAUUGUUGCAAAUAAAAAUAAAAAUAUCUGGAAGCGUUUUCAUGAUCUUUAUUUCAUUUUUAUAGGCCCGGCCGCAGUUCUGCUUGACAAGUUCUGAAUGUGAUGGCCCAUUUAGGACCGGAUGUUCUGUUGCAGAAGCAGAUGAAAGGCAGCUGCGCGGCCAUACUGCCUCACUGUUCUUCCCGCACAUCUCACUGUGAAUUUACUAUGUGGACGCCUCCGCAGGAAGCCAGGUCCAGGGCAGAGCAUGCAGAGGAUCCAGGCACAGCCUUGUGCUGGACACCAAAGCCAACCAGUGGAGGGACAUGUAGAAUUAACAGUCUGGGGCUUAUUUCUUUCUUCUUUUCAAGCCUGCUCCAGUGACGGACACAGUCUUAGUGAUGGACAGAGAAGACGAAGAGCCACGAGGGCCUAAGAAGAAAUGAAGCAUCCCUCCCAGGGCCUUCGCUCCACCAUCACCAGCCUUGCUACGCCCUUGCCAGUGUCUCCCAGUACAGCCCAGUCAUGCAUGGUGUGGGUCUCUUGGAGCACACAGGGCUUCACACAGGCAGGAUCUCACUGUGCGGCCUAAGCUGGCCUGAAACUCACCAUCAGCCUCCUUCAGCCUCCAGAGAGCGGACAUCAUAGGAGAGCACCAUGUCUGUCUUUAAACAAUUAGAUGCCAAUUUAAAUAGUUACAGGUGUCUUUUGUAUUGGCUGAUGUGUUUCCAGAAAUUGUUGGCAGAAUAGAUUAAUAUUAAUAUAGAAUAGAUUAAUAUUAAUGUUAAUAGAAGGGUACAGAGACUUUGAAACCAGACUUUUGAACCCCAUAAUUUCUUCCAUUUUCUGGCUCAUUACUUUGUACAAGCUACCCCAACUGUCUGAGCCUUGAUUUGGUGGUCUGUGAAGUAGGGGCCCGCGAGUUAGCAUGUGUAAAUCAGUUGAUUUGGGGCUUAAGGACGUAGCAGGUCUCUGUUAGAAAGUAAUUUAUUUGUAGUCUGGCAUGGUGGUGGCACACACCUUUGAUUCCAGUACUCAGGAGACAGAAGCAGGCAGAUUUCUGAGUUUGAGGCCAGUCUGGUCUACAGUGAGGAACGAAAACCCAGUGCUGAGAGGAGAGGAGGCUAGAGAAAAGACCACUCACUUGAAUGAAAAGACACUUUAUUACUGCAGCAAAGGUGGGUCCUAAGUGCUGACAACAGCCUCUCCAUCUUGCUUACCUUAGCCAACAGUUGCAAGAUAAGGGAAAGAAAGGGCAGACAGGAGGCAUGCCUGCAUCUUCACGUUUCCCUCUCUGGAGGACACAGGUCUAGGUCCUGGUCCAGCUUGAUUCCCCGGCUUUGGGCCAGGCAGGACAGAGGCCUGCUUCAGGUCACCCCUCCCCCAGCCUGCACCAGAUGGCAGGCACGAUGGUCCCAGCCCUCAGAGCCAUCCCUGUGCUGAAGCCGUUUUAAGGAUAAUUUCAGUAAAGACGGCUCAGAAUGACAACCUGACUGCAGAAGCGUGAGCCCUGCUCCCAGGGACACAGUCAGUACAGUGCCACCAGUCCAUGAAAUGUGGAGAUAGUUCCCCCAGGGGUUCGUUACAGAUUUCCUGGUUCUAUCAGACCCCAGCCACACUACAUGUGGAUACCUGGACCUGGAGCGUUUAUAGCGUGUUUCUCUGGCUGUUGCUAUGAUCUAAGACCCUGUCUCUUGACUCCCUUCUUCCUAACCUCUGCCUGUGAGUGGUUCACAAAAGAAUGAAUGACAGGCAGUUGGAUGGAUCCUUGAGAUUCUGUAUUCUUUUUUAAGACUUAG
Molecule: long non-coding RNA, 1812 nt
Organism: Alexandromys fortis (reed vole)
Lineage: Eukaryota; Metazoa; Chordata; Mammalia; Rodentia; Cricetidae
Exons: 4
Source: RefSeq, a predicted model, not a curated record